This 372-nucleotide ribosomal RNA is filed under the name Mimomyia chamberlaini. RNAcentral's name for it is "eukaryotic LSU rRNA". The stretch from base 1 to 87 matches the Rfam family "5.8S ribosomal RNA", at positions 65 to 154 of the family's 154-position model. Lineage: Eukaryota; Metazoa; Arthropoda; Insecta; Diptera; Culicidae. The record is from RNAcentral.
AUGUGACUGCAGGACACAUGAACACCGACAAGUUGAACGCAUAUUGCACAUCGUACAACAGUACGAUGUACACAUUUUUGAGUGCCUAUAUUUAAACAUUUAACUACACGUCGUCCCUGGUCUCUCGCUCUCUCACGCGGGUCCCAGGGCGGGCCUUUUACGUGUGCGUAGUGAUGUUUUCCUGCCUUCACUGUGCGGUAAAACAUUUAAGUAUUGGAAAACACGCGCGCGCCUAGUGUGUGCGUGUGUACUUCUAUGAACAACAUCCCACUUCAUACCGCUGUGUGUGUUGUGUUGUGUUCCAUCGAUUCCGUGUUCCAAUCUCCCAUGUAGGCCUCAAAUAAUGUGUGACUACCCCCUAAAUUUAAACAU